AUAAGGAGCUUGCUCCUUUGACGUUAGCGGCGGACGGGUGAGUAACACGUGGAUAACCUACCUAUAAGACUGGGAUAACUUCGGGAAACCGGAGCUAAUACCGGAUAACAUAUUGAACCGCAUGGUUCAAUAGUGAAAGGCGGCUUUGCUGUCACUUAUAGAUGGAUCCGCGCCGUAUUAGCUAGUUGGUAAGGUAACGGCUUACCAAGGCAACGAUACGUAGCCGACCUGAGAGGGUGAUCGGCCACACUGGAACUGAGACACGGUCCAGACUCCUACGGGAGGCAGCAGUAGGGAAUCUUCCGCAAUGGGCGAAAGCCUGACGGAGCAACGCCGCGUGAGUGAUGAAGGUCUUCGGAUCGUAAAACUCUGUUAUCAGGGAAGAACAAAUGUGUAAGUAACUGUGCACAUCUUGACGGUACCUGAUCAGAAAGCCACGGCUAACUACGUGCCAGCAGCCGCGGUAAUACGUAGGUGGCAAGCGUUAUCCGGAAUUAUUGGGCGUAAAGCGCGCGUAGGCGGUUUUUUAAGUCUGAUGUGAAAGCCCACGGCUCAACCGUGGAGGGUCAUUGGAAACUGGAAAACUUGAGUGCAGAAGAGGAAAGUGGAAUUCCAUGUGUAGCGGUGAAAUGCGCAGAGAUAUGGAGGAACACCAGUGGCGAAGGCGACUUUCUGGUCUGUAACUGACGCUGAUGUGCGAAAGCGU
Molecule: ribosomal RNA, 706 nt
Filed under: Staphylococcus warneri
Lineage: Bacteria; Bacillati; Bacillota; Bacilli; Caryophanales; Staphylococcaceae
Description: bacterial SSU rRNA
Rfam family: Bacterial small subunit ribosomal RNA
Source: RNAcentral